This 595-nucleotide long non-coding RNA is filed under the name Sinocyclocheilus grahami. RNAcentral's name for it is "lncRNA (ENSSGRG00000019188.1)". The record is from RNAcentral. Lineage: Eukaryota; Metazoa; Chordata; Actinopteri; Cypriniformes; Cyprinidae.
UGUGAUGAUGUUCAUAAUAACGGAAUUAUCUUUUUUUUCUAAGACAGAAAUGGAGAGGAAUGGAAACUAUACUAUGAGGAUGAAAAUAUGCCAGUGUUCAGCACAUGUGAAACAUUAAAAACUGAGUUAUUUUGCUGAUUGGGCAUAAAAUCGAGGCUGUGUGUGAACACGAUACCCCGAGCUAGCGCAAUUGAUUCCAGAAGGGUGGACUGUGUUGAGAUGAGUUUGAAUGAUGGCCGAGUGGCUUCUGUGGAGGAAUGGCCCCCUGUUGGAGCCGUUAUCUGUGGCAUUAUUCUGGCAGAGCGAUGGGCUGGACCCUGGAAGGGACAGCUGAGUCAUUUGGCAGAGACCGGCGAGCCAAUUGGUCAGGGAAGUUAUGAGGACAACACUAGAUUUGUGACCACCUUACAGCACCGCCCCCCCCCCUUCAAGACAAAAAUCAUUACCAGCUAAUAGCCCCUACCUAAUGUAUAGCACUCUAUGUUGUUUUAUAGCUAAAACAAAUCACAAUAAAACGACAUGGCAGUGCUAUCUUGUUGAUUUGUAACUAUCUGGAGCGAAAACAUAAUAUUUUGUAGUUUGAGGGGAACAAAAA